This 440-nucleotide ribosomal RNA is filed under the name uncultured bacterium. RNAcentral's name for it is "partial 16S ribosomal RNA". It matches the Rfam family "Bacterial small subunit ribosomal RNA", at positions 338 to 795 of the family's 1533-position model. The record is from RNAcentral.
CCUACGGGAGGCAGCAGUAGGGAAUAUUGCUCAAUGGGGGAAACCCUGAAGCAGCAACGCCGCGUGGAGGAUGAAGGUUUUCGGAUUUGAAACUCCUUUUUUUAGAGAAGAUAAUGACGGUAUCUAACGAAUAAUCACCGGCUAACUCCGUGCCAGCUGCCCCGGUAAUACGGAGGGUGCAAGCGUUACUCGGAAUCACUGGGCGUAAAGAGCGCGUAGGCGGGAUAACAAGUCAGAUGUGAAAUCCUAUGGCGUAACCAUAGAACGGCCUUUGAAAAUGUUAUUCUAGAGUAUGGGAGAGGUAGGUGGAAUUCUUGGUGUAGGGGUAAAAUCCGUAGAGAUCAAGAGGAAUACUCAUUGCGAAGGCGACCUGCUAGAACAUAACUGACGCUGAUGCGCGAAAGCGUGGGGAGCAAACAGGAUUAGAUACCCCGGUAGUC